Molecule: long non-coding RNA, 1098 nt
Filed under: Homo sapiens (human)
Lineage: Eukaryota; Metazoa; Chordata; Mammalia; Primates; Hominidae
Description: HSALNT0237614
Source: RNAcentral
AAGAGAUUGCAUCUCUCUGCUGCCCAUAAAGUGACACAUGACCCUAUAACCGGCUUCAGGAAAUGAGAGUGGAAACACAGCUUGAAGAGUUGGUCUGCCAUGUACCAUGCUGUCUCUCCCCUUGCCGCCAUGACAACUUGGCACUGUUCCAGUAAUGGCGGCUCCGCCAGCCUGGGUCCCAGAGUGUGGAAGGCAAGCAGCAGAGCCUUCAGGAGAUCUGUGCUAGGAUCAAUCCUUCAAGAUAAGAGAAUUUUAUCGUGGAAGCAGAGCGAGUGGCAUCUCCCCACUGCACCAGAAAGGCUUCUGGAGUUCACGCACUGCCCUUGGCUCCUCCAGUUGCUAUCAAGUUGAUUUACUUCUGCAUGGAGCAUCUUAGGACCUAAGAAUAGCAAUGAUGAAACCCAGAAAGAAAAGGCAGACUCACAGGUAUUGGGAAAUUGGAAAUGAAGCCGGAUUGUGGCGGGGGUAGGGAGGGAAUCUUGGCCAGUUCAUUACAAGUCCAUCCCAAAAUGAAUCUUCAAAGUGAAAAUAAUAAUAAAAUUCAUGUAGUGUUUAGUAGAUAAACUGUGGGGUCAGAUUCCUCCUGCUGUGUAUAUAUAGGAGCUGUGCUCGAUGAAGACCAGCUGGCUUUGAUUUCUACUGAGAAUGAAACACAUUGAAAUAAACUUAAAUGAGAUCCUCAGUCACAAAGACAGCAAAUGAGUAGAUAGGAGUCAGUGGAAUUGGUACUGAAAGUCCCUUUUCUGUCGCGUUCCCCAUGCUGAGAAAUACACAGAAAGUCACAAACUGCUGCUUAUAAGACAGGAGUUCUGGAAACUCCGAAGACUCCAAGAACAUGCAAAAGAACCCGAACACCACACUGGCCUCCCCGAAUGAGUUAAAGGCUUAAUAGCACUUUUUGUGUGUGUAGCGUUGAUGUCCUUUCCUUUUUUAAGGAUUUGUGGUAAAAUAUACAUAACAUAAAACUUUAACCAAUCUUAAGUGUACAGAUCAGUGGCAUUAAGUACAUUCACACUGUUGGUGCAACCGUCACCGCCAUCCAUCUGCAGGACUGUUUCAUCAUCCCACACUGAAACUCUUCUGCAUUCAACAUCUCCC